GACGAACGCUGGCGGCGUGCUUAACACAUGCAAGUCGAACGGAAAGGCCCUGCUUUUGUGGGGUGCUCGAGUGGCGAACGGGUGAGUAACACGUGAGUAACCUGCCCUUGACUUUGGGAUAACUUCAGGAAACUGGGGCUAAUACCGGAUAGGAGCUCCUGCUGCAUGGUGGGGGUUGGAAAGUUUCGGCGGUUGGGGAUGGACUCGCGGCUUAUCAGCUUGUUGGUUGGGUAGUGGCUUACCAAGGCUUUGACGGGUAGCCGGCCUGCGAGGGUGACCGGCCACACUGGGACUGAGAUACGGCACAGACUCCUACGGGAGGCAGCAGUGGGGAAUAUUGCACAAUGGGCGGAAGCCUGAUGCAGCAACGCCGCGUGCGGGAUGACGGCCUUCGGGUUGUAAACCGCAUUCGCCUGUGACGAAGCGUGAGUGACGGUAAUGGGUAAAGAAGCACCGGCUAACUACGUG
This 468-nucleotide ribosomal RNA is filed under the name uncultured bacterium. RNAcentral describes it as "partial 16S ribosomal RNA". It matches the Rfam family "Bacterial small subunit ribosomal RNA", at positions 28 to 507 of the family's 1533-position model. The record is from RNAcentral.